Long non-coding RNA from Dreissena polymorpha, 456 nucleotides. RefSeq lists it as uncharacterized. The record is from RefSeq and is a predicted model, not a curated record. The transcript has 3 exons. NCBI's taxonomy places the organism in Eukaryota, Metazoa, Mollusca, Bivalvia, Myida, Dreissenidae.
CUUCUAGUCUACAACACUCGGAAACAUGUUUGCAACUCAUUUCUUUCUUGUUAUCGGGAUCCCGUUUGCCAAUGGCAAAAGUCUUUUUCCAGACUUUGGACAGACCAGCAUUGAAUAAUAUCAAGUCACAGAUAUGCACAGAGCAUUUUUUCCGCACAAAAACAGUUUUGCCGAAGAUAAACGUGAUGGUUCUGCUCCAUGGCAGUCAUGGGUGUGCAGUAGCAAGAAAUGUCAGGAUUGCUGGGGAGACGGGCCUAAUAAGGGUAAUAUUUUACAGAUGUCGAUAAAUAUCAUGAGUAUGGCAGGCGUGAAUUUAAGCCGCGUUCUUUGACUCUGGGCAGAAGCAAUGUUCGAAAGGCUAUACAGGGACGACAGUUUCCGAUUUUUGCUUGAAAUGAAGUCCCCAGUGUAUGGGGAAAGUGUUGCCCUGAUAAGCCUUUGCGGGCUUCAAAAGCU